This 489-nucleotide long non-coding RNA is filed under the name Mus spretus (western wild mouse). RNAcentral describes it as "predicted gene 15208 (ENSMSPG00010024264.1)". The record is from RNAcentral. Lineage: Eukaryota; Metazoa; Chordata; Mammalia; Rodentia; Muridae.
UUCCACGGUCUGGCAAGAUUGAAAUGUUCACUCACACAUGAUAGACGGGGGCUAGAGUCUUCGAGGGACCAUGGUGUGUGUGAUGGUGAUCCUGGAAGGUUGAAGAGGUCGCGCUACCUCAAGUUUCAUCCGUACACACGGUGUGUGUCCUGACGGGACUGGACUUUCAGUGAGCACAUCAUGAUACAGAUGACCUCGGCAGACACUUCUUGGGGACUACCACAGAGAUCCCGAGACAGGGCCAAGGAGAGAAGCAAUUCAUAUGUGAUUUGCCAUUGAAUUGUUGAGACUCUUUGAUCAGGCCACAGGAAAUCUAACCACUGCAGACCCUGGUCACAAUCAAUCCUCUUUUGAGUCCUACUUGUUUUUAUGUCCUAUGAAGCUACAGGAUCCUGAUACUUUUGGACUCCCCCCACCCCACACACACCCAAGGAAAGAGAGGAUCUAAGAACCGAAUCUCUUGAACCAGUGUCGAUACUUCUAGGCAGA